AAAGCCACCAUCAUUCGGUAAGAGUUUUAUAAUCAUUUAAAAAUGUUUAUUUUUCAAACCAGUGUUUCAUUUUAAUUUGAUUUUCUUCAUAGAGCAAUUGUCUUGCAUUCUACAACAAGGCUGAUUCCAAUGCUGCAGCAGCUCAGAAAGGGCAUGGAACUAUAUGGCCUGGUGGACCAGAUGGCUAGAAACUCUGAAGCAUGUCAUUCCUUGUUUGUUCCAGGGAGAAUCACCAAACCUGAUGCAGAUUUCAUAAUGAUGAACUGCCAGCCACGUUUUAGUGAGAAAGGGACAUCUAAGGAGAGAACUGAGAGGACGAAUAUCAACUUCCUGCAAGAUUUCUUGCAGGAGAUUGAAAUGUCAGAUGGGGAGCCAGACAGUGCAGCUGAUGACAAGGAGCCUCUUGCAGUGGCACACGUGCUCCAGUGGAUGACGGGGCAGGCCCAUAUCCCCAUCCUGCCUGAUGAAAAGAGACAAUUUAAAAUAACUUGCAAAUUUGACCAUGAAUGCAGGGAGCGGCUGGGAGACCACCUAGUCUGUUACCCAAUUGUGAGUGCCUGCACUCGGACUGUGACUUUUCCAGUCAGGCAUCUCAGCACUUACACUGACUUUCAAAGAGUCAUGGGGGAAACAGUGAGAUAUGGGGGUGGAUUUCACCGAGUGUGAAACAACUCACUCUACUCGAACUGAGUAUAUUAUUGUUUAAAUAUAUUUGUUAAUGGCAUUAUGAUGAAUUCAUGCUUCUUUUGUUUUACUUAUAAAAGCAUGAAUUGUUUUGUUGUUAGUUGUUUGUUAUUUUCCAGACAAGCAAAAAGGCACAUAAGGAGCUGUUGGUUUAGAGUGGUUUUAAUCAACUAAUUGUCAUUGUACAUACAGUGCAAAAAUUGUGUGUACAAGUCACGGCCAUGUGAUGGAGAAGGUUCCAGAGGAUCCACAGUUCUCUGAAGUUCUUGUAGAUCUUCGUCAUCCAGGGGGCACAAAACUUCAGGAACCACAACGGCCCCAUUUGAGUCUUCUCGUAAUAUGGCACACUCCCAGUCGAUGCCUGGGUCUUGAAGUUCCUAAGGAUCCAGGAAAACAA
This is a long non-coding RNA of Eleginops maclovinus (Patagonian blennie), 1081 nucleotides long. RefSeq lists it as uncharacterized. The record is from RefSeq and is a predicted model, not a curated record. Lineage: Eukaryota; Metazoa; Chordata; Actinopteri; Perciformes; Eleginopidae. The transcript has 3 exons.